Molecule: ribosomal RNA, 448 nt
Filed under: uncultured Bifidobacterium sp.
Lineage: Bacteria; Bacillati; Actinomycetota; Actinomycetes; Bifidobacteriales; Bifidobacteriaceae
Description: bacterial SSU rRNA
Rfam family: Bacterial small subunit ribosomal RNA
Source: RNAcentral
CUCCAGUUGAUCGCAUGGUCUUCUGGGAAAGCUUUCGCGGUAUGGGAUGGGGUCGCGUCCUAUCAGCUUGACGGCGGGGUAACGGCCCACCGUGGCUUCGACGGGUAGCCGGCCUGAGAGGGCGACCGGCCACAUUGGGACUGAGAUACGGCCCAGACUCCUACGGGAGGCAGCAGUGGGGAAUAUUGCACAAUGGGCGCAAGCCUGAUGCAGCGACGCCGCGUGAGGGAUGGAGGCCUUCGGGUUGUAAACCUCUUUUAUCGGGGAGCAAGCGAGAGUGAGUUUACCCGUUGAAUAAGCACCGGCUAACUACGUGCCAGCAGCCGCGGUAAUACGUAGGGUGCAAGCGUUAUCCGGAAUUAUUGGGCGUAAAGGGCUCGUAGGCGGUUCGUCGCGUCCGGUGUGAAAGCCCAUCGCUUAACGGUGGAUCCGCGCCGGGUACGGGCGG